AGUACCUUUAAAUUCAGUCCUGUGAGGCUGGCAAGGUUGGCGGAAUACAACGUUAUACUGUUUCUGUAUCCUUUUGUGUUGGAUGGACGGAUAUAGCACCUUGCCCUUGUACAGGCAAGGUGCUUUUUUAU
The sequence is a regulatory RNA element, 131 nucleotides long. It matches the Rfam family "PyrR binding site". From Rfam's summary of the family: This family represents the PyrR binding site and terminator structure. This RNA structure is found upstream of a variety of genes involved in pyrimidine biosynthesis and transport. The record is from Rfam.